RNAcentral lists this ribosomal RNA (248 nucleotides) under uncultured bacterium. Its description in RNAcentral is "partial 16S ribosomal RNA". It matches the Rfam family "Bacterial small subunit ribosomal RNA", at positions 109 to 353 of the family's 1533-position model. The record is from RNAcentral.
AGUAACACGUGGGUAACCUGCCUUAUAGUGGGGGAUAGCCUUUCGAAAGGAAGAUUAAUACCGCAUAAGAUUGUAGUAUCGCAUGAUAUAGCAAUUAAAGGGGCAAUCCGCUAUAAGAUGGACCCGCGUCGCAUUAGCUAGUUGGUGAGGUAAUGGCUCACCAAGGCGACGAUGCGUAGCCGACCUGAGAGGGUGAUCGGCCACAUUGGGACUGAGACACGGCCCAGACUCCUACGGGAGGCAGCAUG